This 724-nucleotide long non-coding RNA is filed under the name Actinidia chinensis (golden kiwifruit). RNAcentral's name for it is "long non-coding RNA (ACHI_LNC000355)". Lineage: Eukaryota; Viridiplantae; Streptophyta; Magnoliopsida; Ericales; Actinidiaceae. The record is from RNAcentral.
AAAAGUGUUUUUUUUUUUUGCGUAGUGCCCGUAGGCAUGGGCAAUUUCUAGUAUAUAUAUAAUAUGUUAAUGUUUACAAAUGUAUAUUGCUAUAAUCACUGCUCUUUGUUUUGUAUGUUUUUUUUAACUCAAGGUUGUCACACUUUCAAUUAUAUGGGUACUCCCUUAGUUGCCUUUACAAUUUGGUUCACUUUUGAAUGACAUAAUGGAUGGAGUCCCCCAGUAAACUUGUAGCAUCUUUCUUGCCGUUCUAAAAUGGAACCUUUGCAUUAUGGGAUUGGAAAGAACUAGAAGUGAAUCUGGUAUAUUUUUUCCUUUAUAAUCAUGAUCAGUGUACCUCUUCUAGUCCGUUUCUUAAUAUUCAAAAUCAACAUGAACACAUCUUCUAGUUGUUUCAGAUAUUUAAAUCAAUUGUUGUGUUAAUUAUGUAGGAAAGAUGUAGCAACACAAUUGUCCAUUAAAUAAAAUCUAUAUACAGUGUAAAAUUCAAGUUAAUAUUGGGAUUUUGUUUCCCAGAAGAAAUUGCACUUCGUUGGAGUGUUCUCUAUAACCAUCCCAGAUUGUAACUUUCCUGGACACAUAAUUAAAAACAUGUGGGAUUUUAAAAUAUAAUGCCGUUGUAAGCAAGCAAUGAAUAAGGAAAACAUAAUUACCGUACUAACCCCUAUGGAUGAGUUGUAAUUAUAUGACUUAAUUGAGACUCAUGCUUUAAGCUUGCAAAGCG